RNAcentral lists this ribosomal RNA (256 nucleotides) under uncultured bacterium. RNAcentral's name for it is "partial 16S ribosomal RNA". It matches the Rfam family "Bacterial small subunit ribosomal RNA", at positions 524 to 776 of the family's 1533-position model. The record is from RNAcentral.
UACGUAGGGUCCGAGCGUUGUCCGGAAUUACUGGGCGUAAAGAGCUCGUAGGUGGUUUGUCGCGUUGUUCGUGAAAACUCACAGCUCAACUGUGGGCGUGCGGGCGAUACGGGCAGACUUGAGUACUGCAGGGGAGACUGGAAUUCCUGGUGUAGCGGUGAAAUGCGCAGAUAUCAGGAGGAACACCGGUGGCGAAGGCGGGGUCUCUGGGCCGAUACUGACGCUGAGGAGCGAAAAGCGUGGGGGAGCGAACAGG